AUGCAGCUGGAACAGUAAUUGCUCAGUCUGCGCUAUUUCACAGCUGCUCCUGUUCUCCUGGCACCAAAUCCUUUCUGUCCUAUUUUAAUUUUAUCCUCGCUCUGGGAUAAAAUGAAAUGGAGCUCCGGUCAUUUGCCUGUUUCUGAAGGGAGGUGUUGAAUAAAGCCAUGCCUGAGGAUGAGCUGGAAAGUGUUUUCCUUUAAAUCUAGUCUUGGCAUCAACCUGGUUCUGAGUGCCAGAUGGCAAAUAGUUUCCCUGCAGAUUGCAGAAGUGUCUCGGAAUGGAUGUUUUACCUGGGCUGGCUGGAAAUAGAAGCUCUGGGAUCUGUGGUCUGGAGUCUCUGUCUGACACUUCCGACAGAAGAGAGGAGGAGACCUGUUUAUCUACUGCAACACCUGAUCCAGUGGUGAGCGUGACAAAGAGUCUGUGAACUCCAAAAGCAAGAAAAUGACUUCAGAUUUUGCCAAUGACUGAAUGUAUGAGCUUGAAAUAACCUGUGUAAUUUUGGCUUCAACUGAUCCACAUUAGUGUUACCAUGUAAGUUCUUUUUACAAAUGAUCAAAAUAUUUAGCUUCCUAUUAAUUUUACUCUCGCGUACUGUGAAAUAUUGUUUAGCAUGGGGUUUAAUUUUCUUUUUAUUACUGCAAUGCCAUGAUUAUAACAUGUUUGAAGGUAAUUCAGAGCUUCACUGAAUACAGGGAAAUAAGAAGGAAGUCAUCACUACAAUGUUUUCUAUAGCCUGAGUACUUUUGUCUCGUUAUUUUUCCCUAACAAGGAGUUUAUUGUAGUAAUUAUUUAUUCAGGGCACCUGAAAUUAUGUUUCAUUUAAAAAUCAGGUCACCCAAGAACACCAAAACUAGACAAGGCAUUAAAAUACAUUUAAUGAAACCUCCAACAAAUGAAACUGGUGGGACAGAGAGGUUUUCAGAAGGGGCUGUAGUUCAAACUGCUUAUUAAGAUAACUUCCUGUGGAGCAGUUUACCUCUCAUGUUGGUUUUUAUAUUCUUUCCUUGUCUUGUUUUUAUUUGGCAGUAAAAAUACAUCCUGUCCUGUUUUGUAAGACCUGGAACUAAGAGUAACUUAUGCAGCACAUAAAAAGUUUUUAAAGUCAUUUCAUGUGAAAAACAUUUAAAAAAUGAUCAAACAUGUCUAGGACUUCAUUUAUUGCCAAAUUCAGUCAGCCACCUAGAAAAAUGUAGGGAAUUCUUACAAAUAUACUAACUAGGUCUGAUAUUUAUGUUGGUGGGAGUUCUGAAUGAGCAGAAACAGCAGAAAAGCUUAACAGUUCAGCCCAGUUAGAUGCUUGCAAAAACCUUACAGGAAGAUUCAUA
Pezoporus flaviventris is the source of this 1331-nucleotide long non-coding RNA. RefSeq lists it as uncharacterized. The transcript is spliced from 4 exons. Lineage: Eukaryota; Metazoa; Chordata; Aves; Psittaciformes; Psittacidae. The record is from RefSeq and is a predicted model, not a curated record.